AACACAACAAAAUGUGGAAAAAGUCAAGAGGUAUGAAUAAUCUGGAGGCACUGUAUGAAGUGCUUUGAAAGACUGGUCAUGACACACAUCAACACCGUCAUCACAGUCCCACUCCAAUUAACAUACUGCCCCAACAGAUCCACAGAUGUCACAAUCUCAUUUGCAAUUCACACUGACCUGUCUCACCUGGACAAGAAUGCUACAGUUUAGGGUUCAACACCAUAGUCCCCUCCAAGCUCAUCACCAAUGUAGGGACCCUGGGACUGAACCCCUCCCUCUGCAACUGGAUCCUGGACUUCCUGACAGGCCGGCCACAUGUGAUGAGGGUGACAGUGGAAGGAGAAAUGUUCUUCAACAGCCUGUAGAACUGCAAGAAAACCAGUAUCUGGUGCAAGAUGUUGACUGUUCAACCCAGAGCAGGAGACCCACAUUGUAAAUACGGUCAUUGCAAAUAACGAUCUCGGAGAACUGCAGGACCACAUAAUGGCAGAUAACACCAUAUUCCAAACGUCGACAGAGUGAGUCUCUCUGCAAUGUCUCAUCUACUGAAACGCAAUAGAAUGAGGAUGAAGCAGCUGUACAGAGUCC
Molecule: long non-coding RNA, 588 nt
Organism: Oncorhynchus nerka (sockeye salmon)
Lineage: Eukaryota; Metazoa; Chordata; Actinopteri; Salmoniformes; Salmonidae
Exons: 3
Source: RefSeq, a predicted model, not a curated record